RNAcentral lists this ribosomal RNA (253 nucleotides) under uncultured bacterium. RNAcentral describes it as "partial 16S ribosomal RNA". It matches the Rfam family "Bacterial small subunit ribosomal RNA", at positions 524 to 776 of the family's 1533-position model. The record is from RNAcentral.
UACGUAGGGUGCAAGCGUUAAUCGGAAUUACUGGGCGUAAAGCGUGCGCAGGCGGUUGUGCAAGUCAGAUGUGAAAUCCCCGGGCUCAACCUGGGAACUGCAUUUGUGACUGCACGGCUAGAGUGUGUCAGAGGGGGGUAGAAUUCCACGUGUAGCAGUGAAAUGCGUAGAUAUGUGGAGGAAAACCGAUGGCGAAGGCAGCCCCCUGGGAUAACACUGACGCUCAUGCACGAAAGCGUGGGGAGCAAACAGG